UUGCUGGGCUUGAGACAGAGCAUCCUCUACUUGCUUGAGUUCGGCCAGCAGGGCUUCUCUUUUUGCCGAUAGAUCAGAGACUUUCUGCUUCAGUGCAUCACCUGACGACUUUAAGGUGCCGAUGUUCUUAUGCUUCUCAUCGGCUAAGAGUUUUUCUUUCAUCAUCUCCUCAGAGAGCUGGAUUUGAGCAGCUCUAUCGGCAAGGCGCCGAGUGGCUCUCUGGUACU
RNAcentral lists this long non-coding RNA (227 nucleotides) under Sorghum bicolor (sorghum). Its description in RNAcentral is "long non-coding RNA (SBIC_LNC006168)". Lineage: Eukaryota; Viridiplantae; Streptophyta; Magnoliopsida; Poales; Poaceae. The record is from RNAcentral.